This 253-nucleotide ribosomal RNA is filed under the name uncultured bacterium. RNAcentral's name for it is "partial 16S ribosomal RNA". It matches the Rfam family "Bacterial small subunit ribosomal RNA", at positions 524 to 776 of the family's 1533-position model. The record is from RNAcentral.
UACGGAGGGUGCGAGCGUUGUCCGGAAUCAUUGGGCGUAAAGGGCGCGUAGGUGGCCCAGUCAGCGUGCGGUGAAAGCUCGGGGCUCAACCCCGGGUCGGCCGUGCGAACUACUGGGCUGGAGCACUGUAGAGGCAGGCGGAAUUCCGGGUGUAGCGGUGGAAUGCGUAGAGAUCCGGAAGAACACCGGUGGCGAAGGCGGCCUGCUGGGCAGUUGCUGACACUGAGGCGCGACAGCGUGGGGAGCAAACAGG